This 254-nucleotide ribosomal RNA is filed under the name uncultured bacterium. Its description in RNAcentral is "partial 16S ribosomal RNA". It matches the Rfam family "Bacterial small subunit ribosomal RNA", at positions 524 to 776 of the family's 1533-position model. The record is from RNAcentral.
UACAGAGACUGCAAGCGUUAUUCGGAUUCACUGGGCGUAAAGGGCGCGUAGGCGGCCCGCACAAGUCUGCGGUGAAAACCCCCGGCUUAACCGGGGGCCGGCCGUGGAAACUGUCGGGCUAGAGGCCGGGAGAGGGCAGCGGAAUUCCCGGUGUAGCGGUGAAAUGCGUAGAGAUCGGGAGGAACACCGGCGGCGAAGGCGGCUGCCUGGACCGGCCCUGACGCUGAGGCGCGAAAGCUAGGGGAGCAAACAGG